This 550-nucleotide ribosomal RNA is filed under the name uncultured bacterium. Its description in RNAcentral is "bacterial SSU rRNA". It matches the Rfam family "Bacterial small subunit ribosomal RNA", at positions 355 to 896 of the family's 1533-position model. The record is from RNAcentral.
UAGGGAAUCUUCGGCAAUGGGGGCAACCCUGACCGAGCAACGCCGCGUGAGUGAAGAAGGUUUUCGGAUCGUAAAGCUCUGUUGUAAGAGAAGAACGAGUGUGAGAGUGGAAAGUUCACACUGUGACGGCAACUUACCAGAAAGGGACGGCUAACUACGUGCCAGUAGCCGCGGUAAUACGUAGGUCCCGAGCGUUAUCCGGAUUUAUUGGGCGUAAAGCGAGCGCAGGCGGUUAGAUAAGUCUGAAGUUAAAGGCUGUGGCUUAACCAUAGUACGCUUUGGAAACUGUUUAACUUGAGUGCAGAAGGGGAGAGUGGAAUUCCAUGUGUAGCGGUGAAAUGCGUAGAUAUAUGGAGGAACACCGGUGGCGAAAGCGGCUCUCUGGUCUGUAACUGACGCUGAGGCUCGAAAGCGUGGGGAGCAAACAGGAUUAGAUACCCUGGUAGUCCACGCCGUAAACGAUGAGUGCUAGGUGUUGGGUCCUUUCCGGGACUCAGUGCCGCAGCUAACGCAUUAAGCACUCCGCCUGGGGAGUACGACCGCAAGGUUG